Gasterosteus aculeatus aculeatus (three-spined stickleback) is the source of this 656-nucleotide long non-coding RNA. Lineage: Eukaryota; Metazoa; Chordata; Actinopteri; Perciformes; Gasterosteidae. The record is from Ensembl.
AAUGAGCGUCCAGCCGGCCGGGGCAUUUAAAAGCCGGACGAAUGGCCACCCUAUGUCUUCCUGUGUCGGAGUCUGGUCUUGACAACCCGUUUGGAGCUAACCCAGUGCCUCGAGGAGGCCCAAAUCGGGUGGGAGCCGACCCAGGUGGAGAGAAUGCAGCCCAGGCCGUGACGCGCUGCUGUUUUGCUUGGUUUUGUUUUGUUCCUGUUCAGUUGGAUCACGCUGUGCUAGUUUUUCUGUGUCUUGAACAAAUCAUGAUUUGUCCCCCAGAAAUUUCUACACUGUAUUUGUUUGUGUUUAGGAGUGCGUGGGGCAGGCUGCGGCGUGGCUACCCGGAUGGUGGUGGGGCUGGUUGGACUGGGCCUCACUUUCUCCUCCCCUUUUUUCUUAGUUGCAUGUUUUUGGUUUUUGAUUUACAUUGUUUUGCGUGAGUGUGGAUGCGGCGCUGGAGGGAGUGAGGGCCUUGUCCCAGAGUUUGUCCCCUCUCUUUUCCCUUCUUAGCCCGCUGCAGCCUACGGCACCAAUAGAAUUGAAUUUGUUUAUUAAAACUUAUUUUCCUCUUUGACGACAUUCCCAGAGCUGAUGGGAAUUAUUAAAAUGAAUUGUUACCUUUUUGAUAUUUUAAGAAAAUAAAUAUUGUUGCUUUGGUCUGUUUA